AGCGAACGCUGGCGGCAGGCCUAACACAUGCAAGUCGAACGAACCUUUCGGGGUUAGUGGCGGACGGGUGAGUAGCACGUGGGAACGUGCCUUUAUGUUCGGAAUAACUCAGGGAAACUUGUGCUAAUACCGAAUGUGCCCUUCUGGGGAAAGAUUAAUCGCCUUUAGAGCGGCCCGCGUCUGAUUAGCUAGUUGGUUGAGGUAAUGGCUCACCAAGGCUACGAUCAGUAGCUGGUCUGAGAGGAUGAUCAGCCACAUUGGGACUGAGACACGGCCCAAAAUCCUACGGGAGGCAGCAGUGGGGAAUCUUGCGCAAUGGGCGAAAGCAUGACGCAGCCAUGCCGGGUGAAUGAUGAAGGUCUUAGGAUUGUAAAAUUCUUUCACCGGGGACGAUAAUGACGGUACCCGGAGAAGAAGCCCCGGCUAACUUCGUG
RNAcentral lists this ribosomal RNA (434 nucleotides) under uncultured bacterium. RNAcentral describes it as "partial 16S ribosomal RNA". It matches the Rfam family "Bacterial small subunit ribosomal RNA", at positions 29 to 507 of the family's 1533-position model. The record is from RNAcentral.